GUGGGAGUAGGCUCAGCGGUUAAGAGCACCCGACUACUCUUCCAGAGGUCCUGAGUUCAAUUCCCAGCAACCACA
Rattus norvegicus (Norway rat) is the source of this 75-nucleotide non-coding RNA. The record is from Rfam. NCBI's taxonomy places the organism in Eukaryota, Metazoa, Chordata, Mammalia, Rodentia, Muridae.